This 68-nucleotide ribosomal RNA is filed under the name Botrytis cinerea. RNAcentral describes it as "partial 28S ribosomal RNA". The stretch from base 11 to 68 matches the Rfam family "Eukaryotic large subunit ribosomal RNA", at positions 1 to 58 of the family's 3401-position model. Lineage: Eukaryota; Fungi; Ascomycota; Leotiomycetes; Helotiales; Sclerotiniaceae. The record is from RNAcentral.
UUUCUAUGGUUGACCUCGGAUCAGGUAGGGAUACCCGCUGAACUUAAGCAUAUCAAUAAGCGGAGGAA